UACGUAGGGUGCGAGCGUUAAUCGGAAUUACUGGGCGUAAAGCGCGCGUAGGCGGCUUUUCAAGUCGAUUGUGAAAUCCCCGGGCUUAACCUGGGAACUGCAGUCGAGACUGUCUAGCUAGAGUAUGGGAGAGGGAAGUGGAAUUUCAGGUGUAGCGGUGAAAUGCGUAGAUAUCUGAAGGAACACCAGUGGCGAAAGCGACUUCCUGGACCAAUACUGACGCUCAUGUGCGAAAGCGUGGGGAGCAAACAGG
RNAcentral lists this ribosomal RNA (253 nucleotides) under uncultured bacterium. RNAcentral's name for it is "partial 16S ribosomal RNA". It matches the Rfam family "Bacterial small subunit ribosomal RNA", at positions 524 to 776 of the family's 1533-position model. The record is from RNAcentral.